This 26-nucleotide small RNA is filed under the name Bombyx mori (domestic silkworm). Its description in RNAcentral is "ovarian small RNA-13509". Lineage: Eukaryota; Metazoa; Arthropoda; Insecta; Lepidoptera; Bombycidae. The record is from RNAcentral.
CCACGAUAUGGGCAUCGACAGGGGGC